CAGAGGUUAUGAUGGGCAUGGU
This 22-nucleotide non-coding RNA is filed under the name Arabidopsis thaliana (thale cress). The record is from RNAcentral. Lineage: Eukaryota; Viridiplantae; Streptophyta; Magnoliopsida; Brassicales; Brassicaceae.